AAAACCUCCCUUCUCUUUUCUUUCGCAGGGAAACCGAGACCUCCAAUUUUUUCCUCCUUGCGUGAACACCCUUCCCUAGCCCUAGCUCCGCCGUCGCCCUUCGCCGCCCGCUCGCUGUUCGUCAUCACUGGAAUCGUCUUCAGUCGUACCGCCGUGAGUCGCCAGCCUCGCGCCGCUGCUCGUCCCUCGCACAAUCGUGACCGCGCCGCCCAUUCGCGUUUCCAGUGACCACAAUCGGAGCUCUACUCCAUUGUUUACGCACAGAUCGAGUCGUUAUCGCCUCCAAUCGGUCACCGCCAUUGUCGGCCUUCACGUCUGAGGUGCAGCACCAGCCGCCGACACUGUCUACAGAUCUCAGGCAGCAGAUUUUCGCGGGGAUAGCCAGAUCUGCGUGUGGGUACCUCCGUUCAGGUUCGUCGGGGCUUUUAUUGUCGUCUUUGCGCGGGCGUUGCCUUCAUCCUAAUGGGUUCUGACCGAAGGUUCCAUUUGGGUGUUUUAGUCGUGGAUUGAAGAGCGGAAGUAAAUAUUCAGUUGCUGUCUAGCAAGUUUGAGACCAAUUUCACUAAGCUUUUGGUCGGGCCACUAGAUUGAAGUCUUGAAGGGAUUUUGGGGAGUCAUGUGUUGGGUAAUCUUACUAUUGGAACUGUCUUUGUACCAGGCGAUAAACUGUAGAUUUAAUAUUGAGGAUCAACUGUUUUCGAGGAUAAUUUUGAUUAUUCUGAGGUCGAAUGGACUGUUUAGGAAGGAUAUAUGAGCAUGUGGUAAUAUAUCUGAAUAUGAUUAUAUAUGAGCUUGAUUUAGAAUUUUAUGAGUUAUAUUAAAA
Molecule: long non-coding RNA, 823 nt
Organism: Benincasa hispida (wax gourd)
Lineage: Eukaryota; Viridiplantae; Streptophyta; Magnoliopsida; Cucurbitales; Cucurbitaceae
Source: RefSeq, a predicted model, not a curated record